CAUUUACUACCUCCGUCCGGAAAUAUUUGUCGGAGAAAUGGAUGUAUCUAGACGUAUUUUAGUUCUAGAUACAUCUAUUUUUAUCCAUUUCCGCGACAAGUAAUUCCGGAUGGAGGGAGUACAUG
Non-coding RNA from Triticum aestivum (bread wheat), 125 nucleotides. The record is from Rfam. NCBI's taxonomy places the organism in Eukaryota, Viridiplantae, Streptophyta, Magnoliopsida, Poales, Poaceae.